UAAGGAAUAUUGGACAAUGGCCGCAAGGCUGAUCCAGCCAUCCAGCGUGCAGGAAGAAGGCCCUACGGGUUGUAAACUGCUUUUGUCAGGGAAUAAACCUGUGGAUUUACUCCGCAGCUGAAGGUACCUGAAGAAUAAGCACCGGCUAACUCCGUGCCAGCAGCCGCGGUAAUACGGAGGGUGCGAGCGUUAUCCGGAAUUACUGGGUUUAAAGGGUGCGUAGGCGGCUAUGUAAGUCAGGAGUGAAAGUUUGCGGCUCAACCGUAAAAUUGCUUUUGAUACUGCAUGGCUGGAAUCAGGAUGAGGUCAGCGGAAUGUGGCAUGUAGCGGUGAAAUGCAUAGAUAUGCCAUAGAACACCAAUUGCGAAGGCAGCUGGCUAGACCUGUAUUGACGCUGAGGCACGAAAGCGUGGGGAGCGAACAGGAUUAGAUACCCCCGUAGUCC
RNAcentral lists this ribosomal RNA (445 nucleotides) under uncultured bacterium. RNAcentral's name for it is "bacterial SSU rRNA". It matches the Rfam family "Bacterial small subunit ribosomal RNA", at positions 355 to 796 of the family's 1533-position model. The record is from RNAcentral.